AUGAUGCAUGUAGUAGAUUGGACUGCGAGAGGGCAAGAGCAGUGUUGGUAUGCCAACGACGAGAACAAGGAAGAGGAGGAGAUGUCACAAUUCCAGAAGUUGAGCCAAUCAAAUGGAGGUGAUGAUGUGGUGAAUGAGCUCUUCUCUUGGCAAUCCAUUCAUGGACGUGGGCCAUUAGGUUUAAACUUGACAAAAACACCCGCUCUUUUGGAGCUUAUACAAAAGAAGCUCACAUUAACCUCCAAAGGAAAAGGAAAGCAAACCACAUGUGAUGUACAAACAAUAUCUACUGCAAUACAAGGAAGGAAGCCCCCUUCAAAAAAGUUGCAAGCUUCCAAUUUUCAAGCUUCCUCUCUUAGAAUUGGGGUCUGGGAGUGGAAAUCCAUAUAUGAAGGGGAUAUUGUUGCAAAAUUUUAUAUUUCCAAGAAUAAAUUGGCGUGGGAAAUACUCCAUGAAGGCCUGAAGAGCAAGAUAGAGAUAAAAUGUUCAGACAUAUGUGCCUUGAGAAUUACUUGUCCCAAAGAUUUACCCGGGAUGCUGGACAUUAUGGUGUCCGCGGUGCCACAAUUUUUCGUAGAAACCAAUCCACAGCCACGCAGGAGCACCAGGUGGGUUGCAACUAUGGAUUUUACUGGUGGACAAGCAAGUACGCACAGUAGGCAUGUUCUGCAGUGUGGCCCAGGGAUAAUGGACAAGCACAUUGAGAAUCUCCUCUACAAAGACCAACGUCUAUAUUUAUUAAGUCAAAAGAACAAUAUCAAUCCAGAGAGUCCUUGUUUGCGAAAAGGUUGUGAAUUGUCUGUUACCCCAUUGAGGUCGAGCACCGAAAAUUCAUAUCAUAGCAAUUAUGACAACCUGUUUGAGACUGGACAAACUGGGCAGUCAUUGCCACUUCAACCGGUGGCAACUGGAACAAUGACAUUAGGGCUAAAUGAUUAUGGAGCCCUGCAAGGUGUACACUUUCAAAGCUCAGGGCGGCGAGCUCCACUGAAGGAGGACAUGUUUAACAGGAAAUGCUUUUUGGGCACGCCUCUGGGGUCGCAACCUACCUCCAUGUCCAACUCUAAUGCUGGUAUCAUGAAUAGUAACUCUGGAAACCACUUCGACAAUCAGAUCAAUUCAUGGAACUUAUCUCCCAGUGUUGAUUACUCAUCAUUGCGUGAGAUGUAUGACUUGAAUGGCAGCCAUACCUUGCUGCCGAGUAACAGCAACAUAUCAUCGGAGACAAUGGCACUUGAGCAGCUACGCGAAAACUUUUUGAGCGACAACGAGGUCGUGAAUGUGGUGGACGAAGAGGAUCUCAUGAGCAUGGUGAACCCCCCUGUCCUGCUUGAUUGGACAGAGUUCCCACUCCCAGGCAAGCAAUACUCUGGUUGCUCCUCCUCCUCUAGAUCAACCAACCCAAGUCAUCAACGUGCUUCCUACUGGAAGCAGCUCACCAUGAGAGCAAUCACUGGAGGCACAUAA
Molecule: ribosomal RNA, 1467 nt
Filed under: Triticum aestivum (bread wheat)
Lineage: Eukaryota; Viridiplantae; Streptophyta; Magnoliopsida; Poales; Poaceae
Description: partial small subunit ribosomal RNA
Source: RNAcentral